Molecule: ribosomal RNA, 1764 nt
Filed under: Minisyncoccota bacterium
Lineage: Bacteria; Bacillati; Minisyncoccota
Description: bacterial SSU rRNA
Rfam family: Bacterial small subunit ribosomal RNA
Source: RNAcentral
CUUAUUUAGAGUUUGAUCCUAGCUCAGGGUGAACGCUGGCGACGUGGAUAAGGCAUGCAAGUCGAACGCAUUUAGUUGCGUGGCAGACGAGGUAGUAAUGCAUAAGUACGUACCCCAAAGUCGAGCAUAACCCAUCGAAAGGUGGAAUAAUUCUCGAUAGUCCCAGCACUUAAUUUUGGUUAUAAUGUAAUGAUGUUUUAUGUGUAUUUAAUCCAGAGUAAGACAACUAACGAAUUAUAUGUUGGUUAUACUUUUGAUAUUACACAACGAAUACUCUCACAUAACACUGCAAGUAAUAUAUCUACGAAACAUGGAGUUCCAUGGGAGCUCAUUUACGUAGAAGGUUAUCGAAGUGAGCGUGAUGCGAGAGUUCGAGAACAAAAACUAAAACAUCAUGGAAAUAGUAAAAGAUUUGUGAAAGAAAGAAUAAAGAACAGUCUUUUGUAACUAAAAUUAAGUGCUGGGUAAAGAUUUAUCGCUUUGGGAACGGCUUGUGUGGCAUCAGCUUGUUGGUAGUGUAACGGACUACCAAGGCUAUGACGCCUAGGGGAGGUGAGAGCCUGACCCCCACCGAUGGAACUGAGAACGGUCCAUACUCCUACGGGAGGCCGCAGUCGAGAAUCUUCCGCAAUGGGCGAAAGCCUGACGGAGCGACGUCGCGUGGUUGAUGAAGUCCUUCGGGAUGUAAAGACCUUUUAUGAAGGAGAAAGUGCGCUUUUGGCGUAUUGAUGUUACUUCAUGAAUAAGGGGCUGCUAACUCUGUGCCAGCAGCAGCGGUAAUACAGAGGCCCCAAGCGUUACCCGGAAUCACUGGGCGUAAAGUGUGUGUAGGCGGUUGUGUUAGUCUUCUGUUAAAUUUCCGCGCUUAACGUGGAGUCCGCAGGGGAAACGGCACAACUAGAGGGUGUGAGAGGUUUGUGGAACUCAUAGUGUAGGGGUGAAAUCCGUUGAUAUUAUGGGGAACACCAAAAGCGAAGGCAACAAACUGGCACACUCCUGACGCUGAGACACGAAAGCGUGGGUAGCGAACGGGAUUAGAUACCCCGGUAGUCCACGCCCUAAACGAUGUCCGUUAGCUCUUUGGAGUAUCGACCCUCUGAGGGGCAAAGCUAACGCGUUAAACGGACCGCCUGGGUAGUACGGCCGCAAGGCUAAAACUCAAAGGAAUAGACGGGGGCUCGCACAAGCGGUGGAUCAUGUGGCUUAAUUCGUCGAUAAACGAAGAACCUUACCAGGAUUUGAAAUCAAACUGAAAGUUCCGUGAAAGCGGAACCCUCUUCGGACAGUUUGGCAGGUGUUGCAUGGCCGUCGUCAGUUCGUGAUUUGAAUUGUUCCCUUAAGUGGGGAAACGAACGCAACCCUUAUUGCCUGUUACAAGUGUCAGGCGAGACUGCUCCCUCACGGGAGAGGAAGGUGGGGAUGACGCCAGGUCAGUAUGACCCUUUGAUAUCCUGGGCUGCACACGUGAUACAAUGGUUACUACAACAGGACGCAAUACCGUAAGGUGGAGCAAAUCCUUAUAAAAGUAGCCCAAGUUCGGAUUGAGGUCUGCAAUUUGACCUCAUGAAGUUGGAAUCGCUAGUAAUCGCAGGUCAGCUAUACUGCGGUGAAUACGUUCUCGAGCCUUGUACUCACCGCCCGUCAAGUCAAGGAAGUCGGGAGUGCUCAAAGUUCCAUUUCGGUGGACCUACAGUAAACUCGAUAACAGGGGCUAAGUCGUAACAAGGCACGGCUAGCGGAAGCUGGUCGUGGAUUAUUUCCAAC